CAUUAGGAAGCUAUGCAUCAGCACUAGCCUUUUAAGCUAGAAAUAGAGGACUACCAAACCUCCCUAAUGA
RNAcentral lists this transfer RNA (70 nucleotides) under Coeligena bonapartei bonapartei. Its description in RNAcentral is "tRNA-Lys". Lineage: Eukaryota; Metazoa; Chordata; Aves; Apodiformes; Trochilidae. RNAcentral also lists the same sequence under 2 other names. The record is from RNAcentral.